GAGAAAAUAUCAAGUAAUACAUCAAGAUAUUAAUUAGCUUUUUAGGACUGUAGGGGAUUUUAUUUUUUAUAUUCUCUAAAAAUAAGGUCUGCAAUGUAUUAGUAGAUUCAAGAGAUCGGUAGAGCA
Molecule: long non-coding RNA, 126 nt
Organism: Leopardus geoffroyi (Geoffroy's cat)
Lineage: Eukaryota; Metazoa; Chordata; Mammalia; Carnivora; Felidae
Exons: 3
Source: RefSeq, a predicted model, not a curated record